This 547-nucleotide ribosomal RNA is filed under the name uncultured bacterium. RNAcentral's name for it is "bacterial SSU rRNA". It matches the Rfam family "Bacterial small subunit ribosomal RNA", at positions 355 to 896 of the family's 1533-position model. The record is from RNAcentral.
UAGGGAAUUUUUCACAAUGAGCGAAAGCUUGAUGGAGCAAUGCCGCGUGAACGAUGAAGGUCUUUAAGAUUGUAAAGUUCUUUUAUUUGGGAAGAAUGACUUUAGCAGGUAAUGGCUAGAGUUUGACUGUACCAUUUUGAAUAAGUGACGACUAACUAUGUGCCAGCAGUCGCGGUAAUACAUAGGUCGCAAGCGUUAUCCGGAUUUAUUGGGCGUAAAGCAAGCGCAGGCGGAUUGAAAAGUCUGGUGUUAAAGGCAGCUGCUUAACAGUUGUAUGCAUUGGAAACUAUUAAUCUAGAGUGUGGUAGGGAGUUUUGGAAUUUCAUGUGGAGCGGUGAAAUGCGUAGAUAUAUGAAGGAACACCAGUGGCGAAGGCGAAAACUUAGGCCAUUACUGACGCUUAGGCUUGAAAGUGUGGGGAGCAAAUAGGAUUAGAUACCCUAGUAGUCCACACCGUAAACGGUAGAUACUAGCUGUCGGGGCGAUCCCCUCGGUAGUGAAGUUAACACAUUAAGUAUCUCGCCUGGGUAGUACAUUCGCAAGAAUG